GGAUCACAACCUACGAGCUGGGGUGCUGAGUCCCCUGAUCAAAACCUCCUGGCUCCGCUGACUCCUCCCCUACAACAUCAAUUAUAAAUCACGAACUAAAUUAUUUAAUAUUAAAAUAUUCUGAACCAUAAUUCAUAUCUACUAUGCAGUCCAUCACCAGAUCCCCAAACAUCUCAAUCCCUCCAAAUCUAGGGCAGUCGGGGUGGCCCGACUCCCACCCUUGUACCACCGGCCUAUGUCGUCUCCAGCCAUGGCCGUCGCCAUGCCGGCGACGGUGGCCGGUCCCGGUGAAAGGACCAAAAGAAGGAAAGAUCCCUCUCUCUUCAUGGUUGGGAGUACACCUCCCCUCCUUCAUUUUCUUUGGUCCAAGGGCAGCAGCCGCCACCUGCCCAACCCUCGGCCACCACUGGUCAGACCGUCGCCGGCCGCCACUGUUGCUGUCCCCGACGAUGGUGGCCGACCAAGAGAGGAAGAGAAGAAGAAUUUUCUUCUCCUUUUUCUUCUUCUUCCCCCAAACCAACACUGCCCCCUCCCCUUCCUCCAUUGUCAAUCGAAGUCCUCCCCUCUUCUUCUCCCUUCAUCAGCCGAAGGCCGUCCUCAUGGUGGCUCGGCCUCUUCCCCCCACCCGACGGCAACCCAAGCAGCCCCCCCCCCACCGACCACCGUCGUCGUCGCCGGUGGCCAACCGACGAUAGGAAGAGAAGGGGAGGACGGGAUCACGAGGAAGGGAACCUCGGAUCCACCAUCCCCCAUCACAUACAAAGCCUAGAAACCCUCUCCGAUCCUCACACAAACCCGACCAACCCCCAACGCCAUGGAUCCCGGCCAACCGGCAGUCGGCGGCGGCGAAAUCCGAAAGAAAGGGGCCGAAACAGGGGUACCCUGUUUCGGAUCCCUCUCCGACGGCUUCACCGGCCAAAACUCCACCAACACUACCCAAAAACCAAUCAAUGAAGCACAAGGGCUUACCUCGGUCCGGCGGGAUGCUCCGGCGGCCCUUCCGGCGAGAAAUCGAUGGAGAAAUUCGUGAGUAAACCCACGGAUCCGAGGCCUCUUCAUGCAUUUGGUGGGGAUCCUCCUCCUUGACCCGCCGGCUUGCGAAAUCCGCCGCCUUCCCCCACGAUCGCCCUCUUCUCCGGCGGUCAAGCUCCCCCGACGACCAGCCUCCUC
RNAcentral lists this long non-coding RNA (1170 nucleotides) under Phoenix dactylifera (date palm). Its description in RNAcentral is "long non-coding RNA (PDAC_LNC010566)". Lineage: Eukaryota; Viridiplantae; Streptophyta; Magnoliopsida; Arecales; Arecaceae. The record is from RNAcentral.